RNA transcript from Dendrobium catenatum, 1026 nucleotides. It is a transcript of the gene named transmembrane protein 256 homolog, with no coding region annotated. The record is from RefSeq and is a predicted model, not a curated record. The transcript is spliced from 7 exons. Lineage: Eukaryota; Viridiplantae; Streptophyta; Magnoliopsida; Asparagales; Orchidaceae.
CCCCCACAAUUUUUUUUUUUUUUUUUUUUUUUUUUUUGAAUGACCAAAUUUUUUCCCAGCUUAUACUCGUUGGUUAACAAUCCUUGCCCGCUCCUCUCAUGGAUCCCACGAUCUGGCGCAAGGUCGCCGCCAUCUCUGGAGUUGCUGCCCUUGGUCUUGGGACCUACGGCGCCCACGUCUUCAAGCCAAAAAAUUUAGCUUACAAAGAUGUUUGGAACACUGCAUCCCUCUACCAUUUGGUUCACACUGCCGCUUUGCUGUCUGCACCCCUUACUAAACACCCCAACAUUUUUGGGGGACUCCUGACUACUGGGAUUAUUGCCUUCUCUGGAACAUGCUAUACCGUGGCAUAUCUUGAAGAUAGGAAGUACUCUACUCUGGCACCAUUUGGUGGCUUUGCAUUUAUUGGUGCUUGGGCAAGCUUGCUUUUCUGACCAAAAGACAUGCUAAAAGUGUUGUUGCCUGUUCAUAUCCAUCUUGUUCUUCUGCUGAUUAUGUCCGAAGGGUUCCUAAGUCAUCACAGGCUGCGACUAUUCAUGUUUGAACUUGUAAGGCUUCGAUUGGGACGGCUUUCUUACUGCUUCUUAAAGUAGUUUUUUAGUACAAAAAAAUAUUUUUUUCUACUAGAAAGCUGCUUUAAAAAGCAGAAAGAAUGCUGUCCCAAACGAGCCUAAGUCUUUGUUGGAGCUGGGGGUUGCCACCGACUUUAUUGUGGACACAGUAUAAAUCUAGAAUAAGAAUGUUGUAAUAGAAAACUCAUGUUUUACCUGUAAUUUCCAACAGAUUUUGUUAUUUUCUCAUUUGAUAAACAAGUGUAAAGGUCUCCUGAUGUGCCUUUCUAUGUUUUCCUCUCAACUUUCGUAAGAUUUUUUUUUAAACAUAAAACAGGGUGGGAGGUAAAAUGGUUUCCAUUGUGCUUUUGCACUCUUCACGAACUGGAGAAGAAACAUCUAUUAUCAUGCUUGGUAUAUUGUAAAUCUUGAAAGAAUAUGAUCAAUCUUAAUACUGUUUGUUAUAUUUAUUCAA